AGUGACGGUACCUGCAGAAAAAGCACCGGCUAACUACGUGCCAGCAGCCGCGGUAAUACGUAGGGUGCAAGCGUUGUCCGGAAUUAUUGGGCGUAAAGAGCUCGUAGGCGGUUUGUCGCGUCUGCUGUGAAAUCCCGAGGCUCAACCUCGGGCUUGCAGUGGGUACGGGCAGACUAGAGUGCGGUAGGGGAGAUUGGAAUUCCUGGUGUAGCGGUGGAAUGCGCAGAUAUCAGGAGGAACACCGAUGGCGAAGGCAGAUCUCUGGGCCGUAACUGACGCUGAGGAGCGAAAGCAUGGGGAGCGAACAGGAUUAGAUACCCUGGUAGUCCAUGCCGUAAACGUUGGGCGCUAGAUGUAGGGACCUUUCCACGGUUUCUGUGUCGUAGCUAACGCAUUAAGCGCCCCGCCUGGGGAGUACGGCCGCAAGGCUAAAACUCAAAGGAAUUGACGGGGGCCCGCACAAGCGGCGGAGCAUGCGGAUUAAUUCGAUGCAACGCGAAGAACCUUACCAAGGCUUGACAUACACCGGAAACGGCCAGAGAUGGUCGCCCCCUUGUGGUCGGUGUACAGGUGGUGCAUGGUUGUCGUCAGCUCGUGUCGUGAGAUGUUGGGUUAAGUCCCGCAACGAGCGCAACCCUCGUUCUAUGUUGCCAGCGGGUUAUGCCGGGGACUCAUAGGAGACUGCCGGGGUCAACUCGGAGGAAGGUGGGGAUGACGUCAAAUCAUCAUGCCCCUUAUGUCUUGGGCUUCACGCAUGCUACAAUGGCCGGUACAAAGGGCUGCGAUACCGUAAGGUGGAGCGAAUCCCAAAAAGCCGGUCUCAGUUCGGAUUGAGGUCUGCAACUCGACCUCAUGAAGUCGGAGUCGCUAGUAAUCGCAGAUCAGCAACGCUGCGGUGAAUACGUUCCCGGGCCUUGUACACACCGCCCGUCAAGUCAUGAAAGUCGGUAACACCCGAAGCCGGUGGCCUAACCCUUGUGGAAGGAGCCGUCGAAGGUGGGAUCGGUGAUUAGGACUAAGUCGUAACAAGGUAGCCGUACCGGAAGGUGCGGCUGGAUCACCUCCUUU
RNAcentral lists this ribosomal RNA (1068 nucleotides) under Curtobacterium sp. VKM Ac-2884. RNAcentral's name for it is "bacterial SSU rRNA". It matches the Rfam family "Bacterial small subunit ribosomal RNA", at positions 468 to 1533 of the family's 1533-position model. RNAcentral also lists the same sequence under 1 other name. Lineage: Bacteria; Bacillati; Actinomycetota; Actinomycetes; Micrococcales; Microbacteriaceae. The record is from RNAcentral.